This 527-nucleotide ribosomal RNA is filed under the name Ogataea arabinofermentans. Its description in RNAcentral is "eukaryotic LSU rRNA". It matches the Rfam family "Eukaryotic large subunit ribosomal RNA", at positions 41 to 646 of the family's 3401-position model. The record is from RNAcentral. Lineage: Eukaryota; Fungi; Ascomycota; Pichiomycetes; Pichiales; Pichiaceae.
UAUCACUAAGAUGAGCAAACNGGUCCCUUCCUUGCCCGAGCUCGUAACAUUGAAGAACGAUAUCUUGAACUUUGGCCUUUGUCUAUGUUCCUUGGAACAGGACGUCACANAGGGUGAGAAUCCCGUGCGAUGAGGUGUCCAAAUUCUUAUAAGAUUCCUUCGAAGAGUCGAGUUGUUUGGGAAUGCAGCUCUAAGUGGGUGGUAAAUUCCAUCUAAAGCUAAAUAUUGGCGAGAGACCGAUAGCGAACAAGUACAGUGAUGGAAAGAUGAAAAGAACUUUGAAAAGAGAGUGAAAAAGUACGUGAAAUUANUGAAAGGGCAAGGGUAUUAGAUCAGACUUGGUAUUUAGUUAUCNCUUCUCCUUGUGGGUUGUGCUCUAGCUGUUUACUGAGCCAGCAUCAGUUUUGGUGGCAGGAUAAUGACAUUUGAACGUGGCUCUUCGGAGUGAUAUAGCUUUUGUUGAUACUGCCCAUCGGGACUGAGGUCUGCGGCUUUUGCCUANGAUGCUGGCGUAAUGAUCCGGUACC